Caerostris extrusa is the source of this 112-nucleotide non-coding RNA. The record is from the annotation of a GenBank genome assembly. NCBI's taxonomy places the organism in Eukaryota, Metazoa, Arthropoda, Arachnida, Araneae, Araneidae.
AACGGCCAUACCAUGGUGAAUAUACCGGUUCUCGUUAGAUCACCGAAGUCAAGCAUCAGUACUUGGUCAGUACUUGGGUGGGUGACCACCUGGGAACACCGCGUGCCGUAGG